This 445-nucleotide ribosomal RNA is filed under the name uncultured bacterium. Its description in RNAcentral is "bacterial SSU rRNA". It matches the Rfam family "Bacterial small subunit ribosomal RNA", at positions 354 to 796 of the family's 1533-position model. The record is from RNAcentral.
GUAGGGAAUAUUGGUCAAUGGACGAAAGUCUGAACCAGCCAUUCCGCGUGCAGGAAGAAGAUUCUAUGGAUUGUAAACUGCUUUUAGCAGAGAAGAAACGCCUUCAUUGAUGAGGGUUUGACGGUAUCUGCGGAAUAAGCACCGGCUAACUCCGUGCCAGCAGCCGCGGUAAUACGGGGGGUGCAAGCGUUAUCCGGAAUCACUGGGUUUAAAGGGUGCGUAGGCGGGAAAUUAAGUCAGUGGUGAAAGUCUGUUGCUUAACGAUAGAAUUGCCGUUGAUACUGAUUUUCUUGAAUUGGGUUGAGGUUAGCGGAAUGUGACAUGUAGCGGUGAAAUGCAUAGAUAUGUCAUGGAACACCAAUUGCGAAGGCAGCUAGCUGGGCCUUGAUUGACGCUGAGGCACGAAAGCGUGGGUAGCGAACAGGAUUAGAUACCCUAGUAGUCC